CCAAUAGCGUAUAUUAAAGUUGUUGCAGUUAAAAAGCUCGUAGUUGAAUUUCGGGAUUGACGCAUCGGUCGUGCCUUAAGGGGUAUGAACUGGUGUAGUCAGUUUCUCACCUUCUGGAGAACCGCGAUGUCCUUAAUUGGGUGCCGCGGGGAACCAGGACCUUUACUUUGAAAAAAUUAGAGUGUUUAAAGCAGGCAUUUUGCUGGAAUCCAUUAGCAUGGACUAAUAAAAUAGGACGGAUGGUUCUAUUUUGUUGGUUUCUAGGAUCACCGUAAUGAUUAAUAGGGAUAGUUGGGGGAAUUAGUAUUCAAUUGUCAGAGGUGAAAUUCUUGGAUUUAUUGAAGACUAACUACUGCGAAAGCAUUUGCCAAGGAUGUUUUCAUUAAUCAAGAACGAAAGUUAGGGGAUCGAAGACGAUCAGAUACCGUCGUAGUCUUAACCAUAAACUAUGCCGACUAGGAAUCAGACGAUGUUAAUUUUUUAAUGACUCGUUUGGCACCUUACG
This 505-nucleotide ribosomal RNA is filed under the name uncultured Glomeromycotina. Its description in RNAcentral is "partial small subunit ribosomal RNA". It matches the Rfam family "Eukaryotic small subunit ribosomal RNA", at positions 591 to 1092 of the family's 1831-position model. The record is from RNAcentral. Lineage: Eukaryota; Fungi; Glomeromycota.